GUGGGGAAUCUUCCGCAAUGGACGAAAGUCUGACGGAGCAACGCCGCGUGAACGAUGACGGCCUUCGGGUUGUAAAGUUCUGUUAUACGGGACGAAUGGUACGACGGCCAAUACCCGUCGUAAGUGACGGUACCGUAAGAGAAAGCCACGGCUAACUACGUGCCAGCAGCCGCGGUAAUACGUAGGUGGCAAGCGUUGUCCGGAAUUAUUGGGCGUAAAGGGCGCGCAGGCGGCGUCGUAAGUCGGUCUUAAAAGUGCGGGGCUUAACCCCGUGAGGGGACAGAAACUGCGAUGCUAGAGUAUCGGAGAGGAAAGCGGAAUUCCUAGUGUAGCGGUGAAAUGCGUAGAUAUUAGGAGGAACACCAGUGGCGAAAGCGGCUUUCUGGACGACAACUGACGCUGAGGCGCGAAAGCCAGGGGAGCAAACGGGAUUAGAAACCCUUGUAGUCC
RNAcentral lists this ribosomal RNA (450 nucleotides) under uncultured bacterium. RNAcentral describes it as "partial 16S ribosomal RNA". It matches the Rfam family "Bacterial small subunit ribosomal RNA", at positions 354 to 796 of the family's 1533-position model. The record is from RNAcentral.